Molecule: non-coding RNA, 1440 nt
Organism: Pseudonaja textilis
Lineage: Eukaryota; Metazoa; Chordata; Lepidosauria; Squamata; Elapidae
Source: RefSeq, a predicted model, not a curated record
UUCAGUCAGAGUUGAAGAAGCUUCAUGGAUGAGAAGCGAAACGUAUUCAAAGAAAAAUCAGAAAGUCCAGUUGCCUCUUGCAAAAAAAAAAAACACCUUUGAGACAAGUAGCCAAAAAAGUUAUCGCUUAUGAGACUUAUAUGGACUCGGUUAUAGAGGCUAUGAAUGCCCAGCUGAGAGACCUGAAAAAACAAGUGAGGAAGAGAUCUAUCCGGGUAGUUCUUAGGAAUCAAAAACGACUUGAUGUCACAUCAUCUUCAGUUACCAGUUGCAUUAAAUCCGCUGAAAAAAAUGACUGGAGCUAACAGAAUACAAAGUUCAUCUAUCAAGCGGUCUGAUGCUCUCUCAUAUGACAGAUUACUUGUGGUUUUUAAGGCGUCAGCAUAUGGAGUACCAUUUAAAGUGGAUGUGGUUCAUGCCAAAUUGUUAGCCUUUAGGAUAUCAUGUGAUAUGUGAUCAACUGAAGUUUAGUUAUCUGUCAGAUGUCUGGAAAUGUUUGCUUUAUUAAUUCAAUUUAUAGAUCACUUACUCAAUGUAUGAUUUUGAGUGACACUCAAACAAGUUAAUCAAUAAAGCAUCUACAAGCUCCCAAAUCUGAGGUAUCUGUAUACUGUAUCAACAACUUCCCAAACUUGCUCAUAUUCCAUGGAUAUCCUGGUACCAGUAGGAAACUACCUGUCCCCAAAUUCAGAGGAAUAGCUGCAGACUUAUUUGUUUUUACUAGAAUCAGGAACCAUUUAUUUUUGCUCUGCAUCACCCCUGCUUCAGGAGCAAAUACCAGUCUGAUGGAAGGGGUGUGAACUUGUCUGUAGAAGUGCGGAGGCAAUACAAUUGAAUAAACAGAGGCUUGGGAUGCCAUCUGCCCUAAGGAAACUUUUCCCAAGCUGUCCUGGACAUUUUGUGCAACUGGCAAAUAAUACAUUCAGAAUAUUAGUGAAUUAAAAUAAUUAGCCGUUUCCAGGAUUUGGGAGAGUGUACCUCCUUGUUCUGACCAUUAUAUAGAUGAAAAUAGGAAAAAAACUGCUUUUACAAAAAGUUCUAUUGUCACAGCAAUAAGCAUUUCAGAAAUUUAGCAAUCUUCCUUACCAGGAGCUACAAAGGUUAGUUGAUUAUCAAGGAUAGAUCCCUGUCCAUUUCCUCCAACUUCUAACUUUCUUAAAGGAGCCAAUGGACAUGUAAACCGAAACUGCAUUGGAAUGAAGUGGACAUGUGCUAUGGUGAAUUUUUAAGUCGGGCAGGUCAGACAAACAAAAUUACUAUGUCCAAAAACCAGCAUAAAACAAUACUAUAUAUAUUGUAAAAGGUAUAAAAAUAUAAAACUAUAAUAUGAAAGGCAAGAAAUGAUUCUAUAUGGGGAGAAAUACACACAAGAUUCAUUAUAGGCAAUCCAGGCCUAAAUCAAAUUAAGAUUAAAGUAUGUUUCUAAUCUAUAUUUUUAUA